CCUACGGGUGGCAGCAGUGAGGAAUAUUGGUCAAUGGACGAGAGUCUGAACCAGCCAAGUAGCGUGAAGGAUGACUGCCCUAUGGGUUGUAAACUUCUUUUAUAUAGGAAUAAAAUGAUGCACGUGUGCCAUUUUGUAUGUACCAUAUGAAUAAGGAUCGGCUAACUCCGUGCCAGCAGCCGCGGUAAUACGGAGGAUCCGAGCGUUAUCCGGAUUUAUUGGGUUUAAAGGGAGCGUAGGUGGGUUGUUAAGUCAGUUGUGAAAGUUUGCGGCUCAACCGUAAAAUUGCAGUUGAUACUGGCAGUCUUGAGUACAGUAGAGGUAGGCGGAAUUCGUGGUGUAGCGGUGAAAUGCUUAGAUAUCACGAAGAACUCCGAUGGCGAAGGCAGCUCACUGGACUGCAACUGACGCUGAGGCUCGAAAGCGUGGGGAUCGAACAGGAUUAGAUACCCUUGUAGUC
This 460-nucleotide ribosomal RNA is filed under the name uncultured bacterium. Its description in RNAcentral is "partial 16S ribosomal RNA". It matches the Rfam family "Bacterial small subunit ribosomal RNA", at positions 338 to 795 of the family's 1533-position model. The record is from RNAcentral.